RNAcentral lists this ribosomal RNA (528 nucleotides) under uncultured bacterium. RNAcentral describes it as "bacterial SSU rRNA". It matches the Rfam family "Bacterial small subunit ribosomal RNA", at positions 777 to 1304 of the family's 1533-position model. The record is from RNAcentral.
AAUAGAUACCCUGGUAGUCCACGCCGUAAACGAUGUCGACUUGGAGGUUGUGCCCUUGAGGCGUGGCUUCCGGAGCUAACGCGUUAAGUCGACCGCCUGGGGAGUACGGCCGCAAGGUUAAAACUCAAAUGAAUUGACGGGGGGCCCGCACAAGCGGUGGAGCAUGUGGUUUAAUUCGAUGCAACGCGAAGAACCUUACCUGGUCUUGACAUCCACAGAACUUUCCAGAGAUGGAUUGGUGCCUUCGGGAACUGUGAGACAGGUGCUGCAUGGCUGUCGUCAGUUCGUGUUGUGAAAUGUUGGGUUAAGUCCCGCAACGAGCGCAACCCUUAUCCUUUGUUGCCAGCGGUCCGGCCGGGAACUCAAAGGAGACUGCCAGUGAUAAACUGGAGGAAGGUGGGGAUGACGUCAAGUCAUCAUGGCCCUUACGACCAGGGCUACACACGUGCUACAAUGGCGCAUACAAAGAGAAGCGAACUCGCGAGAGCAAGCGGACCUCAUAAAGUGCGUCGUAGUCCGGAUUGGAGU